RNAcentral lists this unclassified non-coding RNA (1558 nucleotides) under Hevea brasiliensis (rubber tree). The record is from RNAcentral. Lineage: Eukaryota; Viridiplantae; Streptophyta; Magnoliopsida; Malpighiales; Euphorbiaceae.
GCUUGACUGCUCAACAGGUGCUUGGUAAGUCCUUUUAGACUUUGCCUUGUUGUGUAGUUUGCUGAGUUUUUACAUGUUGGUGGCUCUCUUAUUGUGAAGUAUGUGUUAAUGAUAGGGACACAUAGCAACAACCUCAGACACAAAAAAUUGUUAGGAUUGCACUGUGGAUUAAUGUGAAAACAAUAUUGGUUUCUGAUCUCCACUUUCCAGAUUAUAGUUAUUUUACUUGGACAGCAAUAAAACAUUUGACAUGAUACACCGAUGCUAUGCUGGUUUAGACAUAUUUGCUGGCUUGUUUAUCUCGAAGAAUUGUAACCCCUUCACUAGUUUUCUGAAAGAAUCAUUAAAGUUUUACAACUUUGUUUUUGGGGAUUGAAGAGGAGAAUGCCCAUUUAGAUUAUAGGCCAUGUUGUUUCUCCAAGAUUUAGUAGGAAUGUGGUUUGAGGGAAUUGGCCUGAUGAAAAUGAGAACAUUGUGUAUCACCAUGCUUCUAAUGGCGGAGUAUUACAAGUCCACAGAUAGGGAGAAAUUCAACUAUUUCGAAGGUGAUAAACCAUGGAUUAUAUCUCUUCCUUUCUGAUUUAGUUACAUGUUGGUGCAGAAAGUAUAAAGGAAUUUUGGAAGACGUGUAUUGCAGGGGAAAAACUUUUAAAUAUCUACAAGUUGAAGAUACCAAGCCCUUUAAUAUUCUUUUACUUCCACAUCUUUCAAAAUGAUAAUUCCUAGAAUUUUUUAAAAAAUACUGAUCAGAGAUAAGGUUCUUUGUGCUAUCUUUAAAUUUCAUAUUAUGAAUAAGUGCUGUUUGACUUUUUAGUCCAAGUCCCUUCAAUUUUUCUAUUGACUGAGCAUUUCUUUACCUGAAGUUAGGCAUGUUCCAGCCCACAAAUGAAAACUGUAAGAGUGACAGAGGCUCCUUAAUGUGCUCUUCCUGUGUGUUAGGCCACUUCAAAGCAAUUUUCUCUAUGCAUUGUUGUUGUUGUAGUUAUUUUUUUAAAGGCACCAUUGUGUAUGUAUUGAUUAAAAACAAUUAAAAAUGGUUUUCAGUAUUUGACAUGUGUUGAUCAUAAAAACAUGAAUACUGCUAAAAAAGUACUUUCAAAUUGCUUAUUGCAAUAUCAAAAGUGAUUUUUUUUUUUUGAAAAUUCAACCACCAAAAGAAUCUUGCUUCAGGAUAUGCAGCUAAAAGUAAUGCAAGCAUAACUGUGUCCUUAAUUUCUUAAAUUAUCCUUAAUUUCUUAAAUUAUAUGACAGUCAUUGAAUGCUUGUCUGUUUUUUAUCAGACACUUUUGGCAGAAGAGGACUAAUCUUUUUGCUAAUAGCACGCGAUAUAUUCCACUUGUUUAAUGCAGAAACCUCAGUAUAACCAGGACUCAGGAGGCAAUUUAUUCAAGUUGUGAUACGUGUCUAGCUUUCCUAUCAAAAUAUUUCUAUAUUGUUAUGAUGUUUAAUUAAUUAAUCCUGCAACAUGGCUUUUAUAGCCAGUGUUUGUAAAAGAGUUGUACCAACUUGUGCCUUUUCAUUUCUUUUGUUGGUAGAACAUCCCUGGCUACAAAAUGCA